GAAAAAGGAAAAGAGAAGAGAAAGGAAGGAGGAGGGGAAGUCUGGGAUGAUCGGAGAGGAAAAACAAGAAGAAAAACGAAAGGAAGAAAGAAAAGAUAGAAAAGAGGGAAGAGAGAAAAUUUUUCGCAGUUCAGGCUGAUUUUCUGUCACUUUUGGUGGCCAUUUUCUCCACUGAAUCAGCCUCUUCUUGAUGUUUUAAGAGAUCUGGGGUAUCUAUGAAGUGAGAGGACAAAUUUUCGUUCAGAAAUUCUAUUUGGAAAACGCCUAAAAAUCCUUUGAAUUAAACCCUCAACUUACUGGGUCGUCAUCACUGGUUUCCACUGGCGCACCUUCGAGGAUCCGCCAGAUCCAUCUGAGUCCUUUUCUUUGGUCAUCCCACACUUUGUUUCGUGAUUAAGGUAAUAUUCUCAUCCUUUUCCAGUCAGAUAUUGUUAGAUUUAGAACAGAAACGUUGAGAUUUUUGCUGCUGUUUUUUUUUUUGUUUUAUUUUCUUGUUUGUUCCCUUUCUGCUGUCUUCUUUUCUUCUUCCCCGUGUUCCCACAAGACAUUAGUUUAAAAUCCCCUCUACAUCAGUGGAUGUUGAUUUCAUGUGCUUGAGUGUUUAGAUUUUGUAUGUGUUUGGACUUGAAUCUCGACAGAGCUGUAUACAUAGUAGACCCAUGAACUGAGUUAAGAAAAUGCAACAAUCAUUCGAAUCUAAUGCGUGGAAAUCUCUUUUGCAUUUGGAUGAUUAAGAACACUGUAACAUGUUUUGCCUAAAUUUUGCUUCCCCGGCACGUAAGAAAUUCUAAAGUUUCACUAGUCGGAAGUUAUGUUUGAUUGUGUUGAAUCAGUUGCAAGCGAAAAAAAAGAAGGAAGAAAGUUGCAGAAAGCUUCAGUUGCAGAAUGCUUCUUCCAAGCUUUGCAUGCAAAACUUCCAAAAAUUGCAUUUUAACCCCUCUAGUUUUCCCUUAUUUCACUAUGGCCCAAAAGUAUGGAACAUAAUCAAUUUUAUCCUUUUGAAAUUCAAUCAUCUCCUUAUGGUUUUAACCAUGUUUUAAGCAAGUCUCAUUUUCUGGGUUUAGAAGAUAAUUAGAGCUUAAUUAGUGUUUAGAACUUUAAUUUGCUUUGAUUUCAACCCCUAAAGUUUGUAAUAAUAAAAAUUUG
Molecule: long non-coding RNA, 1146 nt
Filed under: Coffea arabica (coffee)
Lineage: Eukaryota; Viridiplantae; Streptophyta; Magnoliopsida; Gentianales; Rubiaceae
Description: long non-coding RNA (CARA_LNC005693)
Source: RNAcentral